CAAAAUUUGCUUGGAUGCUUUCCUGUGCAAACUGAUCACGGGAACCUGUUUUAGUAGAGGUUUGGACUAGAUGAUCUCCAGAGGUCCCUUUCAACCCCUCCAGCUCUGAUUCUGUCUCAUUGUCAACACUAUUAUCAACAUCAACGUGUCAUCUUCAAUCCGUGGGUCCUACUGGUGACCUGGGCAAGAGUGUGGGUGAGCAGGAUAUCACAGAUGCCCUGCUCCAGCCCCUCAGAGGUGACACCAUGGUGAUUAAGGCACAGAAGAAGGCAAGAGAGCUGCUUGAGGAGUGAUGGGGCCAUCAUGGAGUCCAGGAGUUUGAAGAGUUAUCAGCCUGGAUUCACUAAGGGGAAGUCAUGUUUGCCCUACGAUGCUUUUAUGAUGAAAUCUCCAGCCUCCUCCAAUGGAUGACAUGGGUUCUGUGAAUAUUGUCUUUCAGGCUGGAGACAUGGGCAGACAAAAAUCUCAUGAAGUUCACCAAGGAGAAAUUCAUAGUCCUGAACCUGAGAAGGAAAAAUCCCAGCACAUGAGGACAUGCAAGGGCACCCAACUGGAAGCAGAUGGCAGAAAAGAAUCAAAGGAGUCCUGGUGGACACCAAGUUAGUCAUGAGUUAGCAAUGUGCCUUUCUUGCUAAGAAGGCCAAUGACCUUAUUGGCUUUAUCAGGCAAAGUAUCACCAGCAGAUCAAGAGAGUUGAACCUUUCCUUCUCCACAGCAUUGGUGAGGCUGCAUCUGGUGUUCCGGGUCCACUUCUUGGCCCCCCAGUAGAAGAAAGACCUGGCCUCCAAGAUGAUGAAAGAAUUGGAACACCUCUCCUAUGAGGAGAAGCUGGGGGAAUUGGGACUGCCCAGGGUGCAUCUUACCAAUGUGUGUAAAUACCUAAAAGGAUACUGGAAAGAGGAUGGAGCCAGGAUAUUUUUAGAGGUGCACCAGGCCACAACAGGAGGCAAUGGGUACAGACUGGAACAAAAUAUUCUGUCUAAACAUCGGGAAGUAUUUCUUUACUGUGCAGGUGAGGGAGCACUAAAACAGGCUGCCCAGAGAGGCUGUGGAGCAGUGCUAUAGUCAUUAGUCUUAGGCAUUAAGGUGGGUUUACAUGGUAUUGCUGUCCAAGAGGUCCUCCAACGCCUCCUAGUGGAUAAACUACAAAAGGUGAAAGCUAGGGGAGAACCUCAGCUGAAGUAAAUGCAAUAGAAAAGAGACAACCUGCCUCUAUGCAAAGGGAAAGAGCAAAAUGAGGAAACUGGGGAGCACUGUCAGUCAAUGCUGAAUGUAAGAGAUGAUGGAAAAUGUUUACAUAAAUGCCUGUCUCCAAGUUACUUAAAUGGGCUGGCAACUUCUUUUGUACAGCAGCGAUACGCAGUUCCUUCAUUAUCUCUUCACAGUCCUGUGGGAUCUGCACCAGAGAAUGGGAGUAACACUGGGUGACUUAAAGUAAAGGCAGGAGAGCCAGAGAGUGUGAAAGAGAGGAUCCUGAAGAGAAAUCCAAACCUACAGUAUCUCUCACCCCCACUACAGUGCUCAUACUGCACUGGCUAAAUAGGUGAAAACAUUAAAAUUAUCAGAGGAGGUCGCUGUUGUGCAACCUGUGGACCACAUCCUCCUAGGUGACCUCUGUGCAGAACUUGCAAACACUCUGUGCACGAGGUCACAACACACCUGUAUUCCUUUGGGUCAGGGUUCUGCAGGGAAGGAAACAAGGAUCUGCUCAGGAAAAAAGUCUGGAGGGCAUCAGAUGGAAAGGUGGGAGAAAAACAGCCACCACUGAAGUACUAAAAGAAAUCCAGCAGGUACCCAAAUGUGAGAAUUAAACAGGAGUUACAUGCUGUGCAAAGGACAUUGGAGAUUCGGAAGGUACAAUGUUGUAGGUUCUAAUAUAACAUCUCAACCACUCUAUAACCCGGUAAAAAGAAAUGCAGUCCAGGAGUGGACCCCACAACACAGAGACUCAGGACUACAUCCGCAAGUGUGGGCACCUCACAAUUACUGCAUGUUGGCCUACUCAAAUCAUGGUGGUGCUCAAGAUGUUAUGCAUCUUCACCAGUUCUGAAAGGACACAGUACAAGCUCUCCUGGGCUCCAUGUAAUUUCCUUGGAUAUAUGUUAUUUUUUUAAAUCUUAUAUCACCAUCUCUUGCUCAGCUCAUGUGUAGCCACAUCUUGAGAAAGAGAUUCUUGGACAUCUAUGCCAAUUUUGCAAACCAAUAUUGCAUGCCAAUUUUGCUAUUACAGCGUAUUCAAUUCAAACACGUUAUACAGACAAGGGGACACAUUCACUUCUGUGUUAAGAGCCGGAUAGAGUGGACAGAGUGGAAUAGAGUGUGAAGAGCUGCCUCUGAGAAACAGCCACGAUCAGGUUGAGAGCUGGUAGGUGAAAAUCAGGGACCAGACCAAUAAAGGACAUCUGGUGGUCAGGGUCUACUACAGCUGCCUGAUCAGGGGAGCCUGUGGAUGAGGGU
Gallus gallus (chicken) is the source of this 2457-nucleotide long non-coding RNA. The record is from Ensembl. Lineage: Eukaryota; Metazoa; Chordata; Aves; Galliformes; Phasianidae.